CAACCCUCAAGCAAGCCUCUUCUUGCUUGGUGUUGGGGCAUUACCAGCGCCCGCCGUCCGCGGCGGGAAGGGGGUAAGCCCUGAAAUCUAGUGGCGGGCUCGCCAGGACUCCGAGCGCAGUAGUGUAAGCCUCGCUCUGGACCGUCCCGGCGCGGCCCGGCCGUAAAAACCCCCAACGUCUGAAA
Molecule: unclassified non-coding RNA, 185 nt
Filed under: uncultured Diaporthales
Lineage: Eukaryota; Fungi; Ascomycota; Sordariomycetes; Diaporthales
Description: sequence contains ITS2
Source: RNAcentral